This 308-nucleotide long non-coding RNA is filed under the name Lathyrus oleraceus (garden pea). RNAcentral describes it as "Pisum sativum (pea) long non-coding RNA (PSAT_LNC025732)". Lineage: Eukaryota; Viridiplantae; Streptophyta; Magnoliopsida; Fabales; Fabaceae. The record is from RNAcentral.
ACCUAUCCUCCUUGACUACUCGGGUGUGUUCUUUCCUCUCUCUUCUAUCUCUUAUUUUAUGUUUGUUUCUUUCAUUGAGGACAGUGCAUAUUUUAAGUGUGGGGGAGGGAAUACUUUAUUUUCUUUGUUUUUGUUCUUUGUUUUGUUUUGUUUUUGUUUUCUUUCAAAAAAAAAUUGCAUUUUUGUUGAAAGUUUUAGGCUAUAGAAUAAUUUGAGGUUGGUUUGUAGAGACUUGGGAAAAGUUCACAAGAUCGGUAUCGUUUUAACACCUUAAAUCUCCUGAAUAUGAAAAUCAUUUUGAAUACUUG